GCGGGCGUAGCUCACCUGGUAGAGCGCAACCUUCCCAAGGUUGAGGUAGCCGGUUCGAGGCCGGUCGCCCGCUCCA
RNAcentral lists this transfer RNA (76 nucleotides) under Actinobacteria bacterium 13_1_20CM_2_65_11. RNAcentral describes it as "tRNA-Gly". It matches the Rfam family "tRNA". Rfam says of the family: Transfer RNA (tRNA) molecules are approximately 80 nucleotides in length. The record is from RNAcentral. Lineage: Bacteria; Bacillati; Actinomycetota. RNAcentral also lists the same sequence under 12 other names.